Long non-coding RNA from Frieseomelitta varia, 1103 nucleotides. RefSeq lists it as uncharacterized. The transcript has 2 exons. The record is from RefSeq and is a predicted model, not a curated record. NCBI's taxonomy places the organism in Eukaryota, Metazoa, Arthropoda, Insecta, Hymenoptera, Apidae.
GGUAAAUUCGGAACUUUGACGGGCGUUGCAAACGGAUUCCAUCGUUUCCACAACAACCACCAACCGGAUAAAGAAUCUCCAUAAUUUGUUAAAUCCGUAUCGUCUUGUGACCCAACAUCAAUGGCCAAAAUAUGAUGCGCUCCUUGCCUCAACAUUUCGUCAGCUUGAACAAAAAAAGUUUAAGAUACCUGGCACGUUAUUAACAUAACACCCAUCGACCAAAAGAUGCCCGUCAAGAGGAUCGCAAAUAGGAGGAAAGACCCCCGCAAUGGUCAUACUGGCUCGAAUGUAUCUCCAUAGCAAACCUGAGUUGACUUAGCUAUUCAGGAUUUGACAAAUGCAUCUUUUAUCAACGGGAGUGAGCUUCAUAUCAUUUUCAAAUUUAUAUUACGCUUUUGAGUUACGAUGAAUCGUUCCGAACUUAUAUCAAUGAAAAAAGGGACUAGUAAAAUUUCCUUUAUUCAUUGAUAUGAAGUUGUUUUUAAUGUCCAGGUAAUUUUAUAAAAUUAAAGAGGAAAAUCGUAAAAAUAUUUUUGUCUAAGAGCGUUUGUGCGUUCAACUCAAAAUAUGUAUAGCACAUAUACUAAUAUAACAUUUUAAUACUGUAGUGCAUGUUUAUAUCACAUAAUAACGAAGUUAGACGCACUCUUUUAAUGUAACGCUCAAAUUACCUGGAAGGUUAUUGACGUACCCGCCGUCGAGUAGGAGAUGGCCGUCAACUGGGUCACACAUGGGUGGCAUAUAACCAGACAAAGACAUCGAAGCUCGAAUGUACCGCCACAGCGAUCCUAAACACGACGAAUUAAGUUCUUAAACAUAUGUUUGUAUUUUACUUCGUACUUCGUAUGUUCAUCUAUAAAUUAUGUAAUAUUCUUUUGGUGCAAGAUAACUUUAAAGCUCAUUGUUACCAUAAUUCAUUAAAAAAUAUCUAAGGAGUUUAUUUUUUAUACAUCUAGUUUUCAAGCGAGAAGUGAUUCGACAUUUGUCAACAAACGAUACAGAACGGAGAGUACGUCAUUAUAAUACAGAUUAUCCAGAAAGCUCACUCCCGCUGUUCAAGCUUAUUUCUACGCAAUGCUUUAUGGUAAUGCUUAUUUAAAUUU